CAACAACAACAGUGCAACACACGCGCGCACACAACCUUCAGAUCCAAUCGACCAGCACGCAGACGCAGCACAUACUACCUCCGAGCGACCCAGAGCCCCCGUUCGCCACCGCCCACUUCCUCCUCCACUCGCAAAUCUUCUCCUCCCCCGGCGAGAGCCCACCCACGCGCGCGGCGGCUCCGGCUCCGCCUCUCCCGCGCCUAGGGCCCCGAGGUUCCCGCACCCACGCCGCGUCGCCGCCGCCGUAGCACCCGCGGGCGCCACAAUGCCGCUCCGCCUCGACAUCAAGAGGAAGCUCGCGCAGAGGUCCGAGAGGGUCAAGUCCGUGGAUCUGCAUCCGACGGAGCCAUGGAUUCUGUCGAGUCUCUACUCGGGGAGUGUUUGCAUCUGGAACUACCAAACGCAGACAAUGGUGAAAUCAUUCGAAGUCACAGACUUACCAGUUCGUUCGGCUAAAUUCAUUGCACGAAAGCAAUGGGUCGUUGCUGGUGCUGAUGAUAUGUUCAUCCGUGUCUACAACUACAAUACAAUGGAUAAGGUCAAGGUGUUCGAAGCUCAUACUGAUUACAUCAGGUGUGUGGCGGUUCAUCCAACCCAGCCCUUUGUGCUGUCAUCGUCCGAUGACAUGCUCAUUAAGCUUUGGGAUUGGGAUAAGGGCUGGGCGUGCACUCACAUAUUUGAGGGACAUUCUCACUAUGUUAUGCAAGUCACAUUUAACCCAAAGGAUACCAAUACUUUUGCUAGUGCUUCCCUUGAUCGCACAAUAAAGAUAUGGAGUAUUGGGUCUCCUGAUCCUAACUUCACAUUAGACGGCCAUUCAAAAGGUGUCAACUGUGUUGAUUACUUCACUGGUGGUGAUCGGCCAUUUUUAAUCACUGGCUCUGAUGAUCAGACUGCAAAGGUCUGGGACUACCAAACAAAGAGCUGUGUUCAAACACUUGAAGGACAUGCACACAAUGUCUCUGCUGUCUGUUUUCAUCCGGAGCUACCUAUUAUAAUUACUGGCUCAGAGGAUGGCACAGUUCGCUUGUGGCACUCUACUACCUACAGGCUCGAGAACACUCUUAAUUACGGCCUUGAGCGAGUUUGGGCUUUAGGGUACAUGAAAGGAUCAAGAAGGAUUGUGAUUGGAUACGAUGAAGGGACAAUCAUGAUUAAAAUUGGUCGUGAAGUUCCAGUUGCUAGCAUGGAUAACAGUGGGAAAAUCAUAUGGGCAAAACAUAAUGAAAUCCAAACUGUCAAUAUCAAGACUGUUGGUGCAGGCAAUGAGAUUGCGGAUGGUGAGCGAUUACCUUUGGCUGUGAAGGAGUUGGGAAGCUGUGAUCUUUACCCACAAAGUUUACGACACAAUCCGAACGGGAGAUUUGUUGUUGUAUGUGGAGAUGGAGAAUACAUAAUUUAUACAGCACUAGCAUGGAGGAAUAGGUCUUUUGGGUCUGCACUUGAAAUCGUUUGGUCAACUGAUGGUGAAUACGCUGUCAGGGAAAGCACCUCAAGGAUAAAGAUAUUCAGUAAAAAUUUCCAGGAGAGAAAAAGCAUAAGACCAACAUUCUCCACAGAACGUGUAUUUGGUGGAGUAUUACUGGCUAUGUGUACAAAUGACUUCAUUUGCUUUUAUGACUGGGCGGAUUGCAGGUUGAUACGUCGAAUUGAUGUCAAUGUGAAAAAUGUCUACUGGGCUGACAGUGGUGAUUUAGUGACAGUUGCAAGUGAUACAUCAUUCUACAUUUUGAAGUACAAUAGAGAUGUAGUAUCUUCUCAUUUGGAUGGAGGGGGUUCAGUUGGCGAGGAGGGUGUGGAAGAUGCCUUUGAACUGCUUCAUGAGAUCAAUGAACGCAUCCGAACUGGGCUAUGGGUUGGUGAUUGUUUUAUCUACAAUAAUUCUCAGUCACGGCUUAAUUACUGCGUAGGAGGAGAGGUCACAACCUUGUUUCACUUGGACAGACCGAUGUACUUACUAGGAUAUCUUGCUAACCAGAGCCGUGUCUAUCUUAUUGACAAGCAAUUUAAUGUUGUUGGGUACACUUUACUCCUCAGUUUGAUUGAAUAUAAAACACUAGUAUUGCGUGGGGAUUUCGAUCGUGCAAAUGAUAUUUUGCCAUCUAUACCAAAGGAGCAAUAUGACAGUGUGGCACAUUUCUUGGAAUCACGGGGCAUGUUGGAGGAAGCCCUUGAGAUAGCAACGGACUCCAAUUACAGAUUUGAUCUGGCAGUGCAGCUUGGUCGAGUCGAUGAUGCAAAGGCAAUUGCUCUUGAGGUGCAAAGUGAGUCUAAGUGGAAGCAGUUAGGGGAGUUAGCUAUCUCUACCGGAAAGCUCGAGAUGGCAGAGGAGUGUCUUCUACAUGCCAUGGAUCUCAGUGGUCUACUGCUUUUGUAUUCAUCCAUCGGGGACGCUGAAGGGAUUACAAAAUUGGCAUCUCUGGCUAAAGAACAAGGAAAGAACAAUGUUGCCUUCCUUUGUUUGUUCAUGCUAGGCAAGUUGGAGGAAUGCCUUCAAUUGUUGAUUGAAAGCAAUCGUAUUCCGGAAGCAGCAUUGAUGGCAAGGUCUUAUCUUCCAAGCAAAGUCCCUGAGAUUGUAGCAUUAUGGAAAAAAGAUCUCCAAAAAGUAAACUCAAAAGCCGCAGAGUCCUUGGCAGAUCCUGAUGAGUAUCCAAACUUAUUUGAAGACUGGCAGAUUGCUCUCAAUGUUGAAGCUGCUGUUGCCCCCAAAAGGGGCAUCUAUCCACCUGCCGAGGAGUACACGAUUCAUGCUGAGAGAUCCAACGAGAGUCUUGUUGAAGCUUUCAAAAAUAUGCACGUACAUGAAGAGGAGGAUGCACACGAAGAGGAUGUACAUGACGAGGAGGAGCUAACAAAUGAAAAUGAUACCGUUCAUGAGGUUUUCGAAGAUGACGGAGUAGAAGAUAGCCAAGAGGAUGCUGUUGAGGUUGAUGCCGAUGGUUCUACUGAUGGCACUAUCCAUGUGAAUGGAAAUGACAGUGAGGAACAGUGGGGUACGAAUAAAGAAGAACCAUCAGCAUAAAAGCUGUAGUUGAGCAAGUUGCUGACUCCUGACCAAUAGUGGAUAGUGGACCAGCAACUUGCUUCGGAGGUUUUACUUUGUAAAGGUUUGUUACUGGGACGAUGUAAAAGCUGUUCUCAUCUGUAUAAGCACAACAUGUGCUCUAGGACUGGUGCAUCCGGUUACAAUGUUCAGCAGCAAUUUGAUUAGAACUUCGCCCAUGUCAUAGAGAAUUUUGCGCUUCAUUUUCAUAUAGUGGUCGGGUCAGUAGGUUUCUGGAAUGUUUCAUAGUGCAAGAGGCUCAUUAUCUUCAUUUGGAGAUCGAAUUUGUUUGGUGAUUGGAGGUGCCAUAUUUUACACAAAGUACAUAGGGCAGUCGUCUGCCAGUUUGGGAACGUUUCUCCCGUCCCGUAUGUAAACCUCAGGUGUUGGAAGACAGUAAUUGGAUUUGAUGGGAGCUUUGUA
This is an RNA transcript of Lolium perenne, 3466 nucleotides long. It is a transcript of the gene named coatomer subunit beta'-2, with no coding region annotated. The record is from RefSeq and is a predicted model, not a curated record. NCBI's taxonomy places the organism in Eukaryota, Viridiplantae, Streptophyta, Magnoliopsida, Poales, Poaceae.